RNAcentral lists this ribosomal RNA (253 nucleotides) under uncultured bacterium. Its description in RNAcentral is "partial 16S ribosomal RNA". It matches the Rfam family "Bacterial small subunit ribosomal RNA", at positions 524 to 776 of the family's 1533-position model. The record is from RNAcentral.
UACAGAGGUCCCAAGCGUUGUUCGGAUUCACUGGGCGUAAAGGGUGCGUAGGUGGUCGGGUAAGUCUGAUGUGAAAUCUCGGAGCUUAACUCCGAAACUGCAUUGGAUACUAUCCGGCUUGAGGGUCGGAGGGGAGACUGGAAUUCUUGGUGUAGCAGUGAAAUGCGUAGAUAUCAAGAGGAACACCAGUGGCGAAGGCGAGUCUCUAGACGACUCCUGACACUGAGGCACGAAAGCCAGGGGAGCAAACAGG